CGUGGGGCAACGGCUGCCGUGGAACUGUGAAGGCAGACAACAAGUGUGAUUUGCGAAGCGUGUCUGAAAAAUGGCUGAAAAAGCCGAAAUUUAGUGGCCGGAAAGGCGACUACUAGACCUUGAGGAGAUUUAUGACAUGAGAUGACAUCCUGAAGGAAUGGAGAGACAAAGAGAGACGGAUGGAGCGCUGGUGUCUGAACUCAGAGGUCCCAGUGGAUGUGCACUAUGCAGAAUGGCGUUGGAGGAAGACAGAAAUAACUGCAGAACAUUCAUCUGAUAGCGUAGCUCUUUGCUCACUUCGGAGGUGGAAGGUCUUUUAUUCCUGCACUUCAUGUGUAAAUGAAUGGCCCAAGGACAAGUGUCCUUGACAUGAGUAUUAAGUAACAAGGAAGAGAGAGA
Molecule: long non-coding RNA, 399 nt
Organism: Clupea harengus (Atlantic herring)
Lineage: Eukaryota; Metazoa; Chordata; Actinopteri; Clupeiformes; Clupeidae
Source: Ensembl